UACAAAACUCUGAAACUCAACCUGUUAUAAACAGCCCUUCUCUACGAAACAGCCCUUCUCUACAAAACUCUGAAAACUCUGAAACUCAACCUGUUAUAAAACAGCCCUUCUCUACGAAACAACCCUUCUCCACAAAACCGCCCUCCACGAAACAGCCCUCUACGAAACCGCCCUCCUCCACAAAACGACCCACAACGUUUAGCUUCAACAGUUACUCCUGCCAAUCUUGGAAAGAGGCUGACAAUUAUACCCGAAAGGUUAACAUAUGAUAAAAAUCAUGUUGAUGCGAACAAGAAGAAUAACAGAAGGGGUCGCAAGAGGAGGAAGACAUGAGAGUCGGCGACAGAGGCAACUACCAACGCGGGUUAUUACAUCUGAUGCAGCAGCUAGCAGCAGAGUAGCAGCAGCCAGCAGGAGCAUGUAAUAUGAAUGUUUUUAUUUGGAUGAAUAUUUUUAUUUGGUUGAAUUGUUUGGAUUACUAUGAAUGCUUUUAAGGGUUACUAUUGGGAUUACUAUGAAUGCUUAUUUGGAUGAAUGUAUCAUCUCGAACUUCA
This is a long non-coding RNA of Beta vulgaris subsp. vulgaris (sugar beet), 554 nucleotides long. RefSeq lists it as uncharacterized. NCBI's taxonomy places the organism in Eukaryota, Viridiplantae, Streptophyta, Magnoliopsida, Caryophyllales, Amaranthaceae. The record is from RefSeq and is a predicted model, not a curated record. The transcript has 2 exons.